UAGAGUCAACUGAAGGGCCGUUGAAGACUACAACGUUGAUAGGCGAGAUGUGGAAGUGCUGUGAGGCAUUAAGCUAACUCGUACUAAUUACCCGUGAGGCUUAACCAUACAACGCCAAAGUGGUUU
Molecule: ribosomal RNA, 126 nt
Filed under: Pseudoalteromonas maricaloris
Lineage: Bacteria; Pseudomonadati; Pseudomonadota; Gammaproteobacteria; Alteromonadales; Pseudoalteromonadaceae
Description: partial 23S ribosomal RNA
Rfam family: Bacterial large subunit ribosomal RNA (bases 1-108)
Source: RNAcentral